RNAcentral lists this long non-coding RNA (289 nucleotides) under Elaeis guineensis (African oil palm). RNAcentral describes it as "long non-coding RNA (EGUI_LNC000523)". The record is from RNAcentral. Lineage: Eukaryota; Viridiplantae; Streptophyta; Magnoliopsida; Arecales; Arecaceae.
UACCAUAUGAAUAUUUAUAUAAAAUAACUCAACAUCGGACUAUGUGCUCUAAGAUAAAUAUAGAUUCAGAUUGUACUUUUUUUUGUAUGAAAAAAAAUUGAUCUUAUUUUAUGACAAUAAUUAUUAAGUUGUAUUUGACAUAGAUUUCAAAAUAUAAUGAAUUAUUUUUUUCAUUUACAGUUCAGUUCAGACAUUAUAUUUUGAAGAUAAUACAAAAUAUAAUUUAAUAAUUAAAAUUUUUAAAAUUGUGAAAGAAGAUCAACCAUCCUUUUAGGUGAAAUAUUCAACC